RNAcentral lists this long non-coding RNA (232 nucleotides) under Prunus persica (peach). RNAcentral's name for it is "long non-coding RNA (PPER_LNC006072)". Lineage: Eukaryota; Viridiplantae; Streptophyta; Magnoliopsida; Rosales; Rosaceae. The record is from RNAcentral.
GGAAUUUCUAAUUUUUUUAAUAAUGGGCCACAAAUUUUCUAAAAGCAAGAUCUUUCAUUUUAAAUGUCAAAGAAAAAGGGGAAUUUUAUCAAUUCUGGCAGACAAACCAUCAAUAGUCAGUUCUUUAUGGUGAUCACUUCUCUGCUUUUUUGAAAGAAAACCUAAUCCCUUUUUGAUCUUUAACUCCUCUUUGUAAGAGUUCAAUAUGCCAUGAUGGUUAGUUUGAUUUUCU